Molecule: transfer RNA, 74 nt
Filed under: Candidatus Woesearchaeota archaeon
Lineage: Archaea; Nanobdellati; Candidatus Woesearchaeota
Description: tRNA-Pro
Rfam family: tRNA
About the family: Transfer RNA (tRNA) molecules are approximately 80 nucleotides in length. Their secondary structure includes four short double-helical elements and three loops (D, anti-codon, and T loops).
Source: RNAcentral
GGGGUUAUGGGUUAGCUUGGCUAUACUUUUUGGUUUGGGACCAAAAGACCCCGGUUCGAAUCCGGGUAACCCCA